RNAcentral lists this long non-coding RNA (1070 nucleotides) under Monodelphis domestica (gray short-tailed opossum). RNAcentral describes it as "lncRNA (ENSMODG00000048674.1)". Lineage: Eukaryota; Metazoa; Chordata; Mammalia; Didelphimorphia; Didelphidae. The record is from RNAcentral.
AUAACUAGGGAUAAAUGACUGAAGCUUUGUCUCAGGAAGGAAGCUGAAUCUAGAGGGUUCUUGAUAGCAUUCGCAGUUUUUUUGUCAAUGUAGAAACAACUGAGCUUACAGCUAGAUAGUAAGAAUAAUCAGCUUCAUGACAAAGUCUGAGUCAGAUUUGUGGGAUUUGAACACAGGUCUUCUGGGUUCUGAGACCAGCUCUUUAUACUCAAGCCCUUUUGCCUUUGAGGGCAAAAACCUUCGAGCACCCUCUUAAAUAAACACCCCCUUCUCUCUAGUUCUUACCCCCCUCUUCUGCCCUCAAGGAGUAUACAUUCUACAGAGGAGACAACAUGACAUGUAUUCAAAGAUUGUGUUUGACUUUGUAUCCCAGGAUCAAGUGCACAGUGCUGACUGAGAGAGUGAUAUGCGAACCCAAACCAUAUCCAUCCAUUUUUGUACCUGGACUGGGAGAGGCAAUAAUGACUGUGUGUGGGGGAAAAAAUUCAACGGAAGAAACCUAGGCAGCACAGACUCAUGCUCUUUGACAAGAUUUGAUGCUAGGCAAGGCUGCCCUGCUGCUUCUGGCAGAAGGAGGCAGCUGUCCUCUGUCCAGCAUAACAGCUGGAUUGGGAACAGUCAGCAUGGCAUCAUCAUUUUCUGGUAUUUUUGCCCCCGAAGUCUGGAAAACAAGAACUAAGGUGAAGUGUAUUUUUGUUGAUCAGAAAUUUCCAGGACUUUUCUGCUAGCAGCAAUGCAAUGAUCCAGGACAAUUCUGAGGGACUCAUGAGAAAGAACACUAUCCACAUCCAGAGAAAGAACUGUGGGAGUAGUAACACAGAAGAAAAACAACUGCUUGAUCACAUGAUUGAUGGGGAUAUGAUUGGGGAUGUAGACUGUAAGUGAUCACUCUAGUGCAAAUAUCAAUAAUAUGGAAAUGGAUCUUGAUCAAUGACAUGUGUAAAACCCAGUGGAAUUUCUCAGUGGCAAGGGGGAGGUGGGAGGAGGGGAGGGAAAGAACAUAAAUCAUGGAACCCUGGAAAAAUAUUCUUAAUUUUUAAAUAAAUAAACUUUAAUUAAUAAAAAAGACA